RNAcentral lists this ribosomal RNA (243 nucleotides) under uncultured bacterium. RNAcentral describes it as "partial 16S ribosomal RNA". It matches the Rfam family "Bacterial small subunit ribosomal RNA", at positions 524 to 765 of the family's 1533-position model. The record is from RNAcentral.
UACGUAGGGUGCAAGCGUUAAUCGGAAUUACUGGGCGUAAAGCGUGCGCAGGCGGUUUUGUAAGUCUGUCGUGAAAUCCCCGGGCUCAACCUGGGAAUUGCGAUGGAGACUGCAAGGCUAGAAUCUGGCAGAGGGGGGUAGAAUUCCACGUGUGAGCAGUGAAAUGCGUAGAGAUGUGGAGGAACACCGAUGGCGAAGGCAGCCCCCUGGGUCAAGAUUGACGCUCAUGCACGAAAGCGUGGG